CUUACCUGAAUGGAGCUAAGCAGAAGAUCAACGACGUUCUUGGCGAGAUAGACAAAUGAUUUAGGUAUUUAGGGUUUCCAAUUUUCUUAAGUCUGGUCUUGGGUUUGUCUGGUUUAUUGAUUUAAUCUGGUUUAUAUUCUCUAAUCGGGCCGUAACCGGGUCAUUUUUGGUUAGUUAAGUUAGUCAUUGGUUAAGUUUAUGGUUUAGAGAACACUAACCAACGUUUAACCAGUUUUUGUAGGUAUUAGUUCGGUUUGUGUGGAAAUGAGUUUCAAACUUUCAUUGUGUGUGGAAGGGGGUUGUUAUACUUUUGUGGUGUGCAAUUACGACGAGGUUAAAGCAUUGUAUACAUUUAUUAUUAUACGAUAGUUCUGGUGUGUAAAUAGGUCGUCUUCCCGUAGAUCUAUUAUCCUUACAAUAGGAAAACAAGGAAAAAUGUUGAGAAACUAAAAAAAAAACUUGAAAAGCCAUAUAUGUGUUUCAUAACUCGACCAAAAUCUGAUUUCUAGAGAUUCAAAUCUAGGCUUUUGGUACGAAGUGAGAAAACACGGACCACUAAACCAAGCCUUACUUAACGUUACACUCAACAUAUUUAAUAUAUAUACGUAUCAAUAUAG
Molecule: long non-coding RNA, 617 nt
Filed under: Brassica napus (rape)
Lineage: Eukaryota; Viridiplantae; Streptophyta; Magnoliopsida; Brassicales; Brassicaceae
Description: long non-coding RNA (BNAP_LNC013378)
Source: RNAcentral